RNAcentral lists this long non-coding RNA (335 nucleotides) under Lathyrus oleraceus (garden pea). Its description in RNAcentral is "Pisum sativum (pea) long non-coding RNA (PSAT_LNC011020)". The record is from RNAcentral. Lineage: Eukaryota; Viridiplantae; Streptophyta; Magnoliopsida; Fabales; Fabaceae.
AUAAUAUUUUCUGCCCGAAAAAGGAGGAUGCACGUUUGGUGAGGAUUUGGUCAAUAAAUGAGUGGUCGCUUUUGAUUUAUAGGGCAAUCUUAAGCUAAAAUUCUUUUUGAGUUUCUAACUCUCUCAAACUAGAUGGUUCAAGCAACGAGAUGUUAAAGCAAUGUAUUUUCAUACGGAUAUUAACACCUUUGUGAGAGACACACAACAUAUUCACCUAAAACUUUAAGGUGAUAGGUCGGUGGGUUCUCUCACUUAUAAAUGCUCAAGUCUCCAUAUUUUCAACCAAUGUGGGACUAUUACCCAUACUACUCACACUUGAUACAUUCUCAACACCC